Molecule: non-coding RNA, 757 nt
Organism: Hydra vulgaris (swiftwater hydra)
Lineage: Eukaryota; Metazoa; Cnidaria; Hydrozoa; Anthoathecata; Hydridae
Source: RefSeq, a predicted model, not a curated record
UUAGCUAAAAAACGUUAAUCCAAAGAAGCAAAAGUGGCUGGUGUGGUGCAAGUAAGAUGAUAUCGAUAUGAUCUAGUCUCAAUCACGUUCGUCGCAGACGAAAAAUUAAACCUGUAAACAAUUUCUCUCUAUAUUUACUUGUUCAAAUGCCAGUGAAACGAACGAUAGAAAAAAAGAAGCAUUUAAACUGUUCGCAAAAUUUUUGGUUUGGAUACAAAAAUCCAAGUGAAAAUGAUAUUAAAAAGGUACACUUUCUUAUAUCUAAAAUUCAUUGCAGCUUUCUAUUCAUUUUUGUUUAUGUGUAUUUCAUCUGUGUUGCUAAUGAUAUUGCCAGUUUUUAUGAUUUUAUGUUGUUAAGUAAUGCAUCCUUAUGUUUCAGGCUAAAAUAGAGCUUUGAAAAACACUUUUUUCCAGUUUAAAUGAAUAAUAACUCUCAAGGUGUAUUAGCUAAAUUAUGGUUUCAAUGGGUUCAAAAAGAAGCAACCGCGCUGGAAACAUGAGUUGAUUAAAAGGAUCAGCCCUUUUUGAAUUAAUAGUCGGUAAGUAUAAUGUCCUCCACUCAGCUAAUCAAGUUUCGUUUGCUUUUUUUGUAUUAUAUUUAAGCAAAAGACUGUUUUUUAUGUCGUAACCUGCUCGUAUGAAAGGGUUUCUCGACUUGAAAUUGUUAAUUUUAUUCAAUAGCGCCAAGAAACAAAGCUCGCUCAAGAAACAGAAAAGAAAGAGAAAGAUGAAAAAUUAUUCUGUUGAACAAUACUAU